This 211-nucleotide ribosomal RNA is filed under the name uncultured bacterium. Its description in RNAcentral is "partial 16S ribosomal RNA". It matches the Rfam family "Bacterial small subunit ribosomal RNA", at positions 137 to 334 of the family's 1533-position model. The record is from RNAcentral.
UGGUGGAUAACCUGCCGAAAGGCGGGCUAAUACAGCAUACGACGGUUUGUCUUCGGGCAGAUCGUGAAAGCAGGCCUCUAUAUAUAAGCUUGCGCUCUUGGAUGGGCCCGCGCCCCAUCAGCUAGUUGGCGAGGUAAUGGCUCACCAAGGCGACGACGGGUAGCUGGUCUGAGAGGAUGGCCAGCCACACUGGAACUGAGACACGGUCCAG